Molecule: long non-coding RNA, 742 nt
Filed under: Cricetulus griseus (Chinese hamster)
Lineage: Eukaryota; Metazoa; Chordata; Mammalia; Rodentia; Cricetidae
Description: lncRNA (ENSCGRG00015030806.1)
Source: RNAcentral
AAAUCCAUGGUUGAAAUGGUAGAUUUCACUUCUUCCUGGUGAUGGUGGUGGUUGCUCAGAACGACUUGUUAUACAGCUGUAUGGAUGAGAACAUCAUUGCUGCAUACUGCCAUGUCUAUGUCAAGAUUAAAUAAUACAUGAUAGAAAGUGUAUAGUAAAUAAUGCACUUGGAAUUUUUUGAAGAUAAAUGGAAAGACUCAAUUAGUCUGUGUAAAGCAACUUCUCUGUGGAAUGCCGAAGAGCCUUCAAACUAAUUUCAUUUUCACCCUACCUGUUCACUGCCAUUUCAGAAAAACUUGAAAAGAGCUAGGUGUGGUGGAACAAACUCUUAAUCCCAGCACUCUGGAGGCAGAGUUGGGUGUACACUGAGUUCAAGUCCCACCUGAACCACCUACCAAGUUCCAGAUCAGCCAGGGCUAUGUAGUGAGGUCUUGUCUAAUCACAAAUAAACAAUAACCAGGAAAGACUGACAACCUUUUAGGCUGCAGCAACCUUAAAUGUCCAAUUUUGCAUUCCAAUGAACUAUUACUAUCCCCAAUUUUAACAUGGUGACAUUUACUUCAGGAGAACGUAGCUGUCAACGGUAACAAUGCAUGUCAAGCUACAUCUUCUUCCUUCAUAAUGUAGUUUCCUCCUUCAUUUAGAUGACACUUGUGACAUUAAUUUAUGACUCAACCCACACAUCAAAGGAAAAUGAUAUAUGUUGGUAAAACAUUACUUCUAAGAAUGAAAGAGAAAGCCC